RNAcentral lists this ribosomal RNA (484 nucleotides) under uncultured bacterium. Its description in RNAcentral is "partial 16S ribosomal RNA". It matches the Rfam family "Bacterial small subunit ribosomal RNA", at positions 29 to 507 of the family's 1533-position model. The record is from RNAcentral.
AUUGAACGCUGGCGGCAUGCUUUACACAUGCAAGUCGAACGGCAGCGCGGGCUUCGGCCUGGCGGCGAGUGGCGAACGGGUGAGUAAUGCAUCGGAACGUGCCCAGUAGUGGGGGAUAGCCCGGCGAAAGCCGGAUUAAUACCGCAUACGACCUGAGGGUGAAAGCGGGGGACCGAAAGGCCUCGCGCGAUUGGAGCGGCCGAUGUCGGAUUAGCUAGUUGGUGGGGUAAAGGCUUACCAAGGCGACGAUCCGUAGCUGGUCUGAGAGGACGACCAGCCACACUGGGACUGAGACACGGCCCAGACUCCUACGGGAGGCAGCAGUGGGGAAUUUUGGACAAUGGGGGCAACCCUGAUCCAGCCAUGCCGCGUGCGGGAAGAAGGCCUUCGGGUUGUAAACCGCUUUUGUUCGGGAAGAAAUACUCUGGGCUAAUACCCCGGGGGGAUGACGGUACCGGAAGAAUAAGCACCGGCUAACUACGUG